RNAcentral lists this ribosomal RNA (911 nucleotides) under archaeon enrichment culture clone C4-46C-A. RNAcentral's name for it is "bacterial SSU rRNA". It matches the Rfam family "Archaeal small subunit ribosomal RNA", at positions 1 to 922 of the family's 1478-position model. The record is from RNAcentral.
UCCGGUUGAUCCUGCCGGAGGCCACUGCUAUCGGGGUUUGACUAAGCCAUGCGAGUCGAGAGGUUCAAGACCUCGGCGUACUGCUCAGUAACACGUGGACAAUCUGCCCUGAAGUGGAGGAUAAUCCCGGGAAACUGGGGGUAAUACUCCAUAGUUCGUGAUGACUGGAAUGUUUUGCGAACGAAAGAUCCGUCGCUUCAGGAUGAGUCUGCGGCCGAUUAGGUAGUUGUUGGGGUAACGGCCCAACAAGCCUGUCAUCGGUACGGGUUGUGGGAGCAAGAGCCCGGAGAUGGAUUCUGAGACACGAAUCCAGGCCCUACGGGGCGCAGCAGGCGCGAAAACUUUACCAUGCGGGCAACCGUGAUAAGGAAACCCCGAGUGCCAGCACAGGCUGGCUGUCCGCCAGUGUAAAUAACUGGUGAAGAAAGGGCCGGGCAAGACCGGUGCCAGCCGCCGCGGUAAUACCGGCGGCUCGAGUGGUGGCCACUAUUACUGGGCUUAAAGGGUCCGUAGCUGGAUAUACAAGUCUCUUGAGAAAUCCGCCGGCUUAACCGGUGGGCGUUCAGGGGAAACUGUAUUUCUAGGGACCGGGAGAGGUGAGAGGUACUGCCGGGGUAGGAGUGAAAUCCUGUAAUCCCGGUGGGACCACCUAUGGCGAAGGCAUCUCACCCGAACGGGUCCGACAGUGAGGGACGAAAGCUGGGGGAGCAAACCGGAUUAGAUACCCGGGUAGUCCCAGCUGUAAACGAUGCGCGUUAGGUGUGUCAGUGACCACGUGUCACUGAGGUGCCGAAGGGAAACCGUGAAACGCGCCGCCUGGGGAGUACGGUCGCAAGGCUGAAACUUAAAGGAAUUGGCGGGGGAGCACCACAACGGGUGGAGCCUGCGGUUUAAUUGGAUUCAACGCCGGG